This 445-nucleotide long non-coding RNA is filed under the name Salvia miltiorrhiza (redroot sage). RNAcentral's name for it is "long non-coding RNA (SMIL_LNC011214)". Lineage: Eukaryota; Viridiplantae; Streptophyta; Magnoliopsida; Lamiales; Lamiaceae. The record is from RNAcentral.
AUGAUUUUGUCUUUGAACUAUAAAAAAUUCUAUUCAAUUUAGGCUUAGAAACAAGAGGACAAUGACUAGCUUCAACCAAAACGAGCAAUUAAUUCUCUGUCCAGCCUUGUUUAGAGCUGAUAGCAAUUGAAUAAAUAAGAGAAGAAAACGUAAGGAUAUAUGCAGCUUCAGUUAAAUAAUAAAACCAUAUAUUGAGCUUCUUUAGUACGGCAGAAACAACAUAAGUCACCACAUGAGGAGGAAAUCAGAACCAUUAUUGAUUCUCUUAUUAAAAAAGAAAAAAAGAAAACCUACAAACUCAAAAACCUAUGAUAUUAUAAAUUCUCUUGAGGAAUUGGUGAGACUAAACUCUCAGGAUAGAAAAACGCUUCGCAACAACGUCUAAUUUUCUUGCUUGGCUUAGAGAUCUCUUCCACCCAUGACUCCUUCACCCCAUACUCCUUCA